GCGUGCAUAACACAUGCAAGUCGAACGAUGAAACUUAGUAGACUUCUUCGGAAUGACACUAAGCGAAUUAGUGGCGAACGGGUGAGUAACGCGUGAGUAACCUGCCUUACACAAGGGGAUAGCCUUUGGAAACGAAGAAUAAUACCCUAUAAAACUAUAAAAGCACAUGCUAGAAUGGUCAAAGUGCUAGCGGUGUAAGAUGGACUUGCGUCUGAUUAGCUAGUUGGUGAGAUAAAAGCUCACCAAGGCAACGAUCAGUAGCCGGCUUGAGAGAGUGUACGGCCACAUUGGGACUGAGACACGGCCCAGACUCCUACGGGAGGCAGCAGUGGGGAAUUUUGCACAAUGGGGGAAACCCUGAUGCAGCGACGCCGCGUGAUUUAGAAGGCCUUCGGGUUGUAAAAAUCUUUUGUAUAGGAAGAAAAUGACAGUACUAUACGAAUAAGGUCCGGCUAAUUACGUGCCAGCAGCCGCGGUAAUACGUAAGGACCGAGCGUUGUCCGGAAUCAUUGGGCGUAAAGGGUACGUAGGCGGCUAGAAAAGUUAGAAGUCAAAGGCUAUAGCUCAACUAUAGUAAGCUUCUAAAACUAUUUAGCUUGAGAAAUGGAAGGGAAAGUGGAAUUCCUAGUGUAGCGGUGGAAUGCGCAGAUAUUAGGAAGAAUACCGGUGGCGAAGGCGACUUUCUGGCCAUUAUCUGACGCUGAGGUACGAAAGCGUGGGUAG
RNAcentral lists this ribosomal RNA (723 nucleotides) under uncultured Eubacteriales bacterium. Its description in RNAcentral is "bacterial SSU rRNA". It matches the Rfam family "Bacterial small subunit ribosomal RNA", at positions 42 to 768 of the family's 1533-position model. The record is from RNAcentral. Lineage: Bacteria; Bacillati; Bacillota; Clostridia; Eubacteriales.